ACGUAGGGGGCAAGCGUUAUCCGGAUUUACUGGGUGUAAAGGGAGCGUAGGCGGCGGAGCAAGUCAGAAGUGAAAGCCCGGGGCUCAACCCCGGGACGGCUUUUGAAACUGCCCUGCUUGAUUUCAGGAGAGGUAAGCGGAAUUCCUAGUGUAGCGGUGAAAUGCGUAGAUAUUAGGAGGAACACCAGUGGCGAAGGCGGCUUACUGGACUGACAAUGACGCUGAGGCUCGAAAGCGUGGGGAGCAAACAG
This 251-nucleotide ribosomal RNA is filed under the name uncultured bacterium. Its description in RNAcentral is "partial 16S ribosomal RNA". It matches the Rfam family "Bacterial small subunit ribosomal RNA", at positions 525 to 775 of the family's 1533-position model. RNAcentral also lists the same sequence under 1 other name. The record is from RNAcentral.